Molecule: unclassified non-coding RNA, 334 nt
Filed under: soil metagenome
Description: partial contains 5.8S ribosomal RNA, internal transcribed spacer 2, and large subunit ribosomal RNA
Rfam family: 5.8S ribosomal RNA (bases 1-120)
Source: RNAcentral
GAUGAAGAACGCAGCGAAAUGCGAUAAGUAAUGUGAAUUGCAGAAUUCAGUGAAUCAUCGAAUCUUUGAACGCACAUUGCGCCCGCCAGUAUUCUGGCGGGCAUGCCUGUCCGAGCGUCAUUUCAACCAUCAAGCCCCAGGCUUGUGUUGGGGACCUGCGUCCGACGCAGGCCCUGAAAACCAGUGGCGGGCUCGCUGUCCACACCGAGCGUAGUAACUAACCUCGCUACGGGAGCGGCGCGGGCGCCUGCCGUAAAACCCCCAAUUUUCACAAGGUUGACCUCGGAUCAGGUAGGAAUACCCGCUGAACUUAAGCAUAUCAAUAAGCGGAGGA